RNAcentral lists this ribosomal RNA (478 nucleotides) under uncultured bacterium. RNAcentral describes it as "partial 16S ribosomal RNA". It matches the Rfam family "Bacterial small subunit ribosomal RNA", at positions 534 to 1014 of the family's 1533-position model. The record is from RNAcentral.
GCAGGCCGUUUAACGUGAAUUACGGCGGCGUAAACGCCGCAGCGGGUUUGUUAAGUCAGAUGUGAUUAAAAAAAAAAGACCUGGGAAUGCUCUGAUACUGCCCUUUCUUAAAACUAGUAGAGGGGGGUAGAAUUCCCGGUGUAGCGGUGAAAUGCGUAGAGAUCUGGAGGAAUCCCGGUGGCGAAGGCGGCACCCUGAACGAAGACUGCCGCUCAGGUGCGAUGCGUGGGGAGCAAACAGGAUUAAAUACCCUGGUAGUUCACCCCGUAAACGAUGUCCACUUGGAUGUUGUGCCCUUGAGGCGUGGCUUCCGGAGCUAACGCGUUAAUUCCACCGCCUGGGGAGUACGGCCGCAAGGCUAAGCUCAAAUGAAUUGACUGGGGCCCGCACAAUCAGUGGAGCCUGUGUUUUAGAUCGAUGCAACGCGAACAACCCUACCUGGGCUUGACAUCCACGGAAGUUUUCAGAGAAAAAAAAG